GUAUGCUAAAUAAUAUAUAGAUAUAAGAGUUGUACAUUUAGAAAAUACAAAAAAUAAAUUAUAUAUAUUUUUAAUCUACUAAACAUAUUAAUUUUUUAUUUUUUGAAAAAAAUAUAUCUCCGUGGUAUAUUGCGGGUUAAAAUCUAGUACAGUCUUAAUUUUCUAGGAAAUUUAUGGUGAAAAUGUCACAAUGAUGAUGCAAGUGAAUAGAAACU
This 215-nucleotide small RNA is filed under the name Arabidopsis thaliana (thale cress). Its description in RNAcentral is "ATSL280710". The record is from RNAcentral. Lineage: Eukaryota; Viridiplantae; Streptophyta; Magnoliopsida; Brassicales; Brassicaceae.